Molecule: ribosomal RNA, 785 nt
Filed under: uncultured bacterium
Lineage: Bacteria
Description: bacterial SSU rRNA
Rfam family: Bacterial small subunit ribosomal RNA
Source: RNAcentral
AGAGUUUGAUCAUGGCUCAGGACNNNNNCUGGCGGCGUGGAUUAGCAUGCAAGUUGAGCGACGGUAUUCCUUCGGGAGUAUACGGAGCAGCGAACGGGUGAGUAACACGUGACAAUCUGUCCUUACAUUCCGGAUAAUUGGGAGAAAUCCCUUGUAAUACGGGGGAGGGUCUCUGAAGGGCAUUCUUUGGAGAAGGAAGGCGCAAGCCGUGCAAGGAGGAGUUCGCGGCCUAUCAGGUAGUUGGUGAGGUAAUGGCUCACCAAGCCGACGACGGGUAGCUGGUCUGAGAGGAUGGUCAGCCACAUUGGAACUGAGACACUGUCCAGACUCCUACGGGAGGCUGCAGUCGAGAAUCUUGGGCAAUGCACGAAAGUGUGACCCAGCGACGCCGCGUGAAGGAUGAAGGCCCUCUGGGUCGUAAACUUCUUUUAUGGGGAAAGAAAAGCUCGCAAGAGCCUUGACGGUACCCCAUGAAUAAGCCACGGCUAACUACGUGCCAGCAGCCGCGGUAAUACGUAGGUGGCAAGCGUUGUCCGGAUUUACUGGGCGUAAAGCGUAUGCAGGCGGAUGGUUAAGUAGGAAGUGAAAGGUUGGAGCUCAACUCCGACACUGCUCCCUAUACUGGCCGUCUUGAGUAGCGGAGAGGAAGAGGGAACGACACGUGUAGCGGUGAAAUGCGUUGAUAUGUGUCGGAACACCAAUGGCGAAAGCACUCUUCUGGACGCAAACUGACGCUGAGAUACGAAAGCUAAGGUAGCAAACAGGAUUAGAUACCCUAGUAGUCC